AACGACGCUGGCGGCAUGCCUAACACAUGCAAGUCGAACGGACCUUUCGGGGUUAGUGGCGGACGGGUGAGUAACACGUGGGAACGUGCCUUUAGGUUCGGAAUAAGCUCGGGAAACUGGGUCUAAUACCGAAUGUGCCCUUCGGGGGAAAGAUUUAUCGCCUUUAGAGCGGCCCGCGUCUGAUUAGCUAGUUGGUGGUGUAAUGGACCACCAAGGCGACGAUCAGUAGCUGGUCUGAGAGGAUGACCAGCCACAUUGGGACUGAGACACGGCCCAAACUCCUACGGGAGGCAGCAGUGGGGAAUCUUGCGCAAUGGGCGAAAGCCUGACGCAGCCAUGCCGCGUGUAUGAUGAAGGUCUUAGGAUUGUAAAAUACUUUCACCGGUGAAGAUAAUGACUGUAGCCGGAGAAGAAGCCCCGGCUAACUUCGUG
RNAcentral lists this ribosomal RNA (432 nucleotides) under uncultured bacterium. RNAcentral describes it as "bacterial SSU rRNA". It matches the Rfam family "Bacterial small subunit ribosomal RNA", at positions 32 to 507 of the family's 1533-position model. The record is from RNAcentral.